RNAcentral lists this ribosomal RNA (603 nucleotides) under uncultured archaeon. Its description in RNAcentral is "bacterial SSU rRNA". It matches the Rfam family "Archaeal small subunit ribosomal RNA", at positions 102 to 706 of the family's 1478-position model. The record is from RNAcentral.
GGAUAACCUUUYCUUAGGUCUGGCAUAACCCCGGGAAACUGGGACUAAUACCGGAUAGAUCAAAGAUACUGGAAUGUUCUCUGGUCCAAAGCUUUUGCGCCUAAGGAUGGAUCUGCGGCCUAUCAGGUAGUAGUGGGUGUAACGUACCUACUAGCCUACGACGGGUACGGGUUGUGAGAGCAAGAGCCCGGAGAUGGAUUCUGAGACAUAAAUCCAGACCCUACGGGGUGCAGCAGGCGCGAAACCUUUACAAUGCGGGAAAUCGCGAUAAGGGGACCCCGAGUGCCAGCACCUAGUGUUGGCUGUCCAGCUGCGUAAAUAACAGUUGAUAGCAAGGGCCGGGCAAGACCGGUGCCAGCCGCCGCGGUAACACCGGCGGCCCGAGUGGUAACCGAUUUUAUUGGGUUUAAAGGGUCCGUAGCCGGCCUGCUAAGUCUCUUGGAAAAUCUGGCGGCUUAAUCGUCAGGCGUCCAAAAGAUACUGGCAGGCUUGGGACCGGGAGAGGUGAGAGGUACUCCAUGGGUAGGGGUGAAAUCUUGUAAUCCUUGGGGGACCAUCGAUGGCGAAGGCAUCUCACCANAACGGGUUCGACGGUGAGGGACG